Molecule: long non-coding RNA, 989 nt
Organism: Hippocampus comes (tiger tail seahorse)
Lineage: Eukaryota; Metazoa; Chordata; Actinopteri; Syngnathiformes; Syngnathidae
Exons: 2
Source: RefSeq, a predicted model, not a curated record
GUGCUCCCCGCAACUAGGCACGCAGGCGACACAAGGUAAUCAUGGCAGCGAGUACAAAGACGUGAGGGGAGGAGGCGAAACAAAGAAGGCGCACAGACAAAGGACAGUGAAGGACAAAAAAACAAAAACAAGGAGGAAGAAGAAGAACACCUUGGAGGCGAGAGGCAACCCAGCGUGACAUCAAAUCCCCCCCCCAUGCUCAUCUUCCCCGGGUUGGAGCGUGGAGCUGGACAGAUCCACGUGUCCUGCGUUUCCUUCCAUGUGAGUGAUCUCAGCUUUGACCUUCACUCAGCGCUGAGCUGAACGGGCGAGGAAGCAAGAAAUGCAAGCACGGGGCUCCUCUCGAGGGGCAAGCUCUCUCAGAACAAUCGCAUACAUAACCCCUCACCCGGCAGGGAAACACUUGAGUCGCGACCACCUCAAGUGAAAGGUUAGCGGGAAAAAAAAUAAAACGUUUUGGGGGUUGGGUUGAUUGGAUUAGACCGUAAAAAGUGAGCCUCAAUGCCAAUGGUGAAUACAAACAACGUAUAAACAUGUCUUUAGUGAUGAUUCCCAUUUGGAAGUCUGUACCAUGAAUCUGUCAUCAAUGCACCGUUUGAGGCAAAACCUUCAAAGACGGUAAACACAUUUUUAGAAAUCCAUCCAGAUCAUAUCCGCCGCUUCAGGUCCAUGUGCGCUGCUGCAUGCUAAUGUCAGCGCAAUCUCCUCUUUGUUCUUGAAACCCACAGUAGAUAUUUUUAAACCGUGGAAAUCAUUUGCCAGCAGAGAGGAGAUGGUUUCAUAUUUCUAUAAGCUACGCCACGCAGGGCCAAGUGACACAUGAAUAUUCUAAGCAGCUUUGUGCCUCUUUAAAUGUAUUUGCGCUGAAUGUGCUGGCAGUGGGCCCGGGCCGUGGCUGGGGCGCCGGGUGUUAUCUCUAAUUCUUGCAAUCCUAAACUAAACUCCGCCAUGGUGAUAAUUCAGCCUGGCACAAAGCAAAAAAAAAAAAA